UACGUAGGGUCCGAGCGUUGUCCGGAAUUACUGGGCGUAAAGAGCUCGUAGGCGGUUUGUCGCGUCUGCCGUGAAAGUCCGGGGCUCAACUCCGGAUCUGCGGUGGGUACGGGCAGACUAGAGUGAUGUAGGGGAGACUGGAAUUCCUGGUGUAGCGGUGAAAUGCGCAGAUAUCAGGAGGAACACCGAUGGCGAAGGCAGGUCUCUGGGCAUUAACUGACGCUGAGGAGCGAAAGCAUGGGGGAGCGAACAGG
Molecule: ribosomal RNA, 254 nt
Filed under: uncultured bacterium
Lineage: Bacteria
Description: partial 16S ribosomal RNA
Rfam family: Bacterial small subunit ribosomal RNA
Source: RNAcentral